RNAcentral lists this ribosomal RNA (249 nucleotides) under uncultured bacterium. Its description in RNAcentral is "partial 16S ribosomal RNA". It matches the Rfam family "Bacterial small subunit ribosomal RNA", at positions 523 to 769 of the family's 1533-position model. The record is from RNAcentral.
AUACGUAGGUGGCAAGCGGUUGUCCGGAUUUAUUGGGCGUUAAAGCGAGCGCAGGCGGUUUUUUAAGUCUGAUGUGAAAGCCUUCGGCUUAACCGGAGAAGUGCAUCGGAAACUGGGAGACUUGAGUGCAGAAGAGGACAGUGGAACUCCAUGUGUAGCGGUGGAAUGCGUAGAUAUAUGGAAGAACACCAGUGGCGAAGGCGGCUGUCUAGUCUGUAACUGACGCUGAGGCUCGAAAGCAUGGGGUAG